RNAcentral lists this ribosomal RNA (354 nucleotides) under uncultured bacterium. RNAcentral describes it as "bacterial SSU rRNA". It matches the Rfam family "Bacterial small subunit ribosomal RNA", at positions 28 to 394 of the family's 1533-position model. The record is from RNAcentral.
GAUGAACGCUAGCGGCAGGCUUAAUACAUGCAAGUCAAGGGGGUAGCAAUACAACCGGCGCACGGGUGAGUAACGCGUACACAACAUACCAUAUACUGGGGUAUAGCUCCGGGAAACUGGAGAUAAUCCCCCAUAACAUUGCGAGAGGGCAUCUGAUUGCAAUUAAAGUUUCGACGGUAUAUGAUUGGUGUGCGUUUUGAUUAGCUUGUCGGUAGGGUAACGGCCUACCAAGGCGACGAUCAAUAGCUGGCGUGAGAGCGCGACCAGCCACACUGGAACUGAGACACGGUCCAGACUCCUACGGGAGGCAGCAGUAGGGAAUAUUGGACAAUGGGCGAAAGCCUGAUCCAGCCG